This 253-nucleotide ribosomal RNA is filed under the name uncultured bacterium. RNAcentral describes it as "partial 16S ribosomal RNA". It matches the Rfam family "Bacterial small subunit ribosomal RNA", at positions 524 to 776 of the family's 1533-position model. The record is from RNAcentral.
UACGGAGGGUGCGAGCGUUAAUCGGAAUUACUGGGCGUAAAGCGUACGUAGGCGGUUUGUUAAGCAGGAUGUGAAAUCCCCGGGCUCAACCUGGGAACUGCAUCUUGAACUGGCAGGCUAGAGUGCAGUAGAGGAUAGUGGAAUUCCUGGUGUAGCAGUGAAAUGCGUAGAUAUCAGGAGGAACAUCGAUGGCGAAGGCAGCUAUCUGGACUGACACUGACGCUGAGGUACGAAAGCGUGGGGAGCAAACAGG